RNAcentral lists this ribosomal RNA (537 nucleotides) under uncultured bacterium. RNAcentral's name for it is "bacterial SSU rRNA". It matches the Rfam family "Bacterial small subunit ribosomal RNA", at positions 777 to 1314 of the family's 1533-position model. The record is from RNAcentral.
AAUAGAUACCCAGGUAGUCCACGCCGUAAACGAUGAGUACUAGCUGUCGGAGGUUACCCCCUUCGGUGGCGCAGCUAACGCAUUAAGUACUCCGCCUGGGAAGUACGCUCGCAAGAGUGAAACUCAAAGGGAUUGACGGGGACCCGCACAAGUAGCGGAGCAUGUGGUUUAAUUCGAAGCAACGCGAAGAACCUUACCUAAGCUUGACAUCCUUUUGACCGAUGCCUAAUCGCAUUUUUCCCUUCGGGGACAGAAGUGACAGGUGGUGCAUGGUUGUCGUCAGCUCGUGUCGUGAGAUGUUGGGUUAAGUCCCGCAACGAGCGCAACCCUUGCCUUUAGUUGCCAGCAUUAAGUUGGGCACUCUAGAGGGACUGCCAGGGAUAACCUGGAGGAAGGUGGGGAUGACGUCAAAUCAUCAUGCCCCUUAUGCUUAGGGCUACACACGUGCUACAAUGGGUGGUACAGAGGGCAGCCAAGUCGUGAGGCGGAGCUAAUCCCUUAAAGCCAUUCUCAGUUCGGAUUGUAGGCUGAAACUCG